Cyprinus carpio carpio is the source of this 651-nucleotide long non-coding RNA. The record is from Ensembl. NCBI's taxonomy places the organism in Eukaryota, Metazoa, Chordata, Actinopteri, Cypriniformes, Cyprinidae.
GAAAAAACAAAGUCAUGUAAGUUUGGAACAACAUGAGUCUGAGGGAUGAAUUGAAAUUACCAUCUUUGGUAAUCGACAUCACGCCACAGAUGCUCUGUGUCCUGGAGGUUGAGGGUAGAGGGCAUGAGAGAUUUAUACAAUGUGACGCUUCUCCUGCAGGGUUCCCGCGGCGUCUUAAAAAGCCUUAAAAGUAUUGAAUUUAUUAAUUUGGAAAUAAUACCUUAAAAAGACUUUAAAAAGUCUUGAAUUUUGAUGUCUGGGUCUUAAAAAUUGUGCUGUAUGUAACUUCUCCGUAUUGUAAUUUUCCUCAAAAGUUUCAUUUGUCAACCACGAUUAUUUUGAUUAAAUGACGUAGUAUAAAUAAAGAGUGGCGGAACCAAUAAUUAAGAACGCAACGCAGCCCCGGGUCACAGUACAAAAUACUGCGAACACGUGAUGCCUUCAGUAAAUGAAGAUCACGCGCUGCAGCACCACAACCAUAGACUGCAAAGCAAAACAACACAACACAGACCUCAAGCAACAAGCAAAGGAGAAGCGCGAAAAAUCAAAGAAAAUCUCAGCAUUCCACAGGAAAGGUUGACUGACGCCGUUAUAUUUUUAACGUUUGUUGUUACGUUAGCUAGCUACCAAUUUCAUUCUGAGGUUAUGGGG